RNAcentral lists this ribosomal RNA (129 nucleotides) under Prolemur simus (greater bamboo lemur). Lineage: Eukaryota; Metazoa; Chordata; Mammalia; Primates; Lemuridae. The record is from RNAcentral.
GUCUACAGCCAUACCACCCUGAACAUGCCCGAUCUCAUCUGAUCUCAGAAGCUAAGCAGGGUCGGGCCUGGGUAGUACUUGGAUGGGAGAAGCUUUCUAGAUUUCUCUGCAGUCAGGAAACUGUAGCGG